GCUGUAGCUUACUGGCAGAACAUCUGCUUUACAUGCAGGAGACCCCAGUUUUGAACCCUGGCAUCUCCA
Non-coding RNA from Podarcis lilfordi (Lilford's wall lizard), 69 nucleotides. NCBI's taxonomy places the organism in Eukaryota, Metazoa, Chordata, Lepidosauria, Squamata, Lacertidae. The record is from the annotation of a GenBank genome assembly.